AUGGUGAAAAAGUCAGAAAGCAUGAUGCUGGACAAGGCACAGGACCGUUCUGCACCUUGGUCCCCCCUCCUCCCUGCUGCUUUAAGGAAGAAGUCCUCCCAGGCUGAUUAAUAUUCCAGAGACACAAAACAACUUGAAGAAUUGGGGUAGAGACAGGCCCAGAAGGUGAAAAUCAUCGAUGUUUCCAGGAGACCGUGGGAGUCGUCAAUGUUUGUCCGAGGCCAUGGGACCGUACAGAGAGUCUCUGAGCCUAACUUGAGUGUCCACGAUUGCGAAAGUCAGGGUUGCUGGGACGGUGAGCUGAGCCCCCGGGGGGUGCGGCAGCUCUUGGUAAGCCGUAAAACUGAGUGCAGGGCCACCUGGAUGGCUCGGUCGGUUGAGCGUCCGACGUCGGCUCCGGUCACGAUGUCCCGGUUUAGGAGUUCGGGCCCCACAUCUGGCUCCCUGCCGUCAGCCUGUC
Molecule: long non-coding RNA, 460 nt
Organism: Felis catus (domestic cat)
Lineage: Eukaryota; Metazoa; Chordata; Mammalia; Carnivora; Felidae
Exons: 3
Source: RefSeq, a predicted model, not a curated record